This 65-nucleotide transfer RNA is filed under the name Bisnius sordidus. Its description in RNAcentral is "tRNA-Tyr". It matches the Rfam family "tRNA". From Rfam's summary of the family: Transfer RNA (tRNA) molecules are approximately 80 nucleotides in length. Their secondary structure includes four short double-helical elements and three loops (D, anti-codon, and T loops). Lineage: Eukaryota; Metazoa; Arthropoda; Insecta; Coleoptera; Staphylinidae. The record is from RNAcentral.
GGCAGGAUGGCUGAGAAUAGGCGGUAAAUUGUAAAUUUAUUAACGAAUUUUAAAAUUCUCCUACC